This 512-nucleotide ribosomal RNA is filed under the name uncultured bacterium. Its description in RNAcentral is "bacterial SSU rRNA". It matches the Rfam family "Bacterial small subunit ribosomal RNA", at positions 29 to 523 of the family's 1533-position model. The record is from RNAcentral.
AAUCAACGCUGGCGGCGUGCCUAACACAUGCAAGUCGAGCGCGAAAGCGGGGCAACCCGCAAGUAGAGCGGCGAACGGGUGAGUAACGCGUGGGUGAUCUACCUCCGAGUGGGGAACAACAUCGGGAAACUGGUGCUAAUACCGCAUGACAUCCUCAGGUCACACUGAGGAUCAAAGCCGGGGACCGUAAGGCCUGGCGCUUGGAGAGGAGCCCGCGUCCGAUUAGCUAGUUGGCGGGGUAACGGCCCACCAAGGCGACGAUCGGUAGCCGGCCUGAGAGGGCGGACGGCCACACUGGGACUGCGACACGGCCCAGACUCCUACGGGAGGCAGCAGUGGGGAAUUUUCGUCAAUGGGCGCAAGCCUGACGACGCAACGCCGCGUGGAGGACGAAGAUCUCGGGUCGUAAACUCCUGUCGAGCGGGACGAAUGGCCCGCGACCGAAUACGUCGCGGGAGUGACGGUACCGCUAGAGGAAGCCCCGGCUAACUCCGUGCCAGCAGCCGCUGUAA